UACGUAGGUGGCGAGCGUUAUUCGGAUUUAUUGGGCGUAAAGGGUUCGUAGGGGGUUGCUUAAGUUCAGUGUGAACGCCUGCGGCUCAACUGCAGAACGUCACUGGAUACUGGGCGACUAGAGGAUCGGAGAGGAGAGUGGAAUUCCUGGUGUAGCGGUGGAAUGCGUAGAUAUCAGGAGGAACACCGAUGGCGAAGGCAGCUCUCUGGACGAUACCUGACGCUGAGGAACGAAAGCCGGGGGAGCAAACAGG
This 253-nucleotide ribosomal RNA is filed under the name uncultured bacterium. RNAcentral describes it as "partial 16S ribosomal RNA". It matches the Rfam family "Bacterial small subunit ribosomal RNA", at positions 524 to 776 of the family's 1533-position model. The record is from RNAcentral.